CACGUAGGGUGCGAGCGUUGUCCGGAAUUAUUGGGCGUAAAGAGCUCGUAGGCGGUGUGUCGCGUCGGCCGUGAAAACCUGCAGCUUAACUGUGGGCUUGCGGUCGAUACGGGCAUCACUGGAGUUCGGCAGGGGAGACUGGAAUUCCUGGUGUAGCGGUGAAAUGCGCAGAUAUUGGGAAGAACACCGGUGGCGAAGGCGGCUCUCUGGACCGUAACUGACGCUGAGGCGCGAAAGCGUGGGGAGCAAACAGG
Molecule: ribosomal RNA, 254 nt
Filed under: uncultured bacterium
Lineage: Bacteria
Description: partial 16S ribosomal RNA
Rfam family: Bacterial small subunit ribosomal RNA
Source: RNAcentral